RNAcentral lists this ribosomal RNA (484 nucleotides) under uncultured bacterium. RNAcentral's name for it is "partial 16S ribosomal RNA". It matches the Rfam family "Bacterial small subunit ribosomal RNA", at positions 30 to 507 of the family's 1533-position model. The record is from RNAcentral.
AUUGAACGCUGGCGGAAUGCUUUACACAUGCAAGUCGAGCGGCAGCACGGGGUCAACCCUGGUGGCGAGCGGCGAACGGGUGAGUAAUACAUCGGAACAUGCCCAGUCGUGGGGGAUAACACUUCGAAAGAAGUGCUAAUACCGCAUACGUCCUGAGGGGGAAAGCGGGGGAUCGCAAGACCUCGCGCGAUUGGAGUGGCCGAUGUCAGAUUAGCUAGUUGGUGGGGUAAAGGCCUACCAAGGCAACGAUCUGUAGCUGGUCUGAGAGGAUGAUCAGCCACACUGGGACUGAGACACGGCCCAGACUCCUACGGGAGGCAGCAGUGGGGAAUUUUGGACAAUGGGGGCAACCCUGAUCCAGCCAUUCCGCGUGAGUGAAGAAGGCCUUCGGGUUGUAAAGCUCUUUCGGCAGGAACGAAACGGUGAGCUCUAACAUAGCUUGCUAAUGACGGUACCUGAAGAAGAAGCACCGGCUAACUACGUG